Molecule: ribosomal RNA, 253 nt
Filed under: uncultured bacterium
Lineage: Bacteria
Description: partial 16S ribosomal RNA
Rfam family: Bacterial small subunit ribosomal RNA
Source: RNAcentral
GACGUAGGGCGCGAGCGUUGUCCGGAUUUAUUGGGCGUAAAGAGCUCGUAGGCGGCUUGUCGCGUCGAAUGUGAAAACUCGGGGCUCAACUCCGAGCUUGCAUUCGAUACGGGCAGGCUAGAGUUCGGUAGGGGAGACUGGAAUUCCUGGUGUAGCGGUGAAAUGCGCAGAUAUCAGGAGGAACACCGGUGGCGAAGGCGGCACGCUGGACCUUUUCUGACGCUGAGGCGCGAAAGCCAGGGGAGCAAACGGG